GUAGGUCAGCGUCAGCCGGAAGCGGAUCGUCUGCAUCCAGUCCGGUGUCCAGGACGGCAUCCGGAUGGAUGCCUUCGGCAACUUCAUCACGUGGCUCGCAAUCGGUAGCCGCGACCGAUCACCGUUUCCAGCAAGGGUUCCUCGCCUUGGGCGGUGAGCUUGCGCCGCAGAGUCCCUACCGUGACGCGGACGCUCUGGGUGAAGGGAUCAGCGUUCUCGUCCCAGACGUGCUCGAGCAGUUCUUCAGCCGACACCACGUGACCCGGCCGCG
This 271-nucleotide unclassified non-coding RNA is filed under the name plant metagenome. RNAcentral's name for it is "partial contains 5.8S ribosomal RNA, internal transcribed spacer 2, and large subunit ribosomal RNA". The record is from RNAcentral.